This 19827-nucleotide long non-coding RNA is filed under the name Brachypodium distachyon (stiff brome). Its description in RNAcentral is "long non-coding RNA (BDIS_LNC003722)". The record is from RNAcentral. Lineage: Eukaryota; Viridiplantae; Streptophyta; Magnoliopsida; Poales; Poaceae.
GCACACCUGGCAGGUCUUGAGUUGACCAUGCAAAGAUAUCCCGAUUCUCACGGAGGAAGCUGCUGAGCUCGCCUUCCUAUUUCUCCUCCAGGCCGGCACCAAUGAUGACGGUGUGGUCCGGGAAUUCGCUGUCAACCUGUAUCUUCUUUGUCUCGUUGGCUGCCUGAAAGGCCACACUUCCAUGGGGAUUGGUCAUAGCCGGCAGGCCAACUUGUGCCGCCUGUGCCAUCGCAACAGCUUCUUGUAAUUUCUUCUUUUCGCCAGCGAUGACCAGCGACUUGGCCAAAGCAGACCCGGUCGUCGCACAUUCCAUUGAGCGUUUGUAGUUGCCAGUGAUAGUUAUGGUACCAUUUGGUCCCGGCAUCUUCAUCUUCAGAUAACCAAUGUGAGUAGGAGCCAUGAACUUGGCGAGUGCCGGCCUACCAAGCAGUGCAUGGUACGGACCGCUAAGGUCCACAACCUCGAACACUAGAUUUUCGGUCUGACAGUUCUCCCUGGUGCCGAAUAAGACGUCCACUCGGAUCUUGCCUACCGGGGCACAAGACACUCCUGGCACUAUACCAUGAAAGGUAGUCCGGCUGGGCUCAAGCAUGUUAUCUAUAAUGCCGAGCUUAAGCAUCGUGUCCCGGUACAGGAUAUUGAUGCUGCUCCCAUUAUCAAUGAGAACCUGAGUGAACUUGACGUUAAUGUCGGGCCCAAUGAGCGUCGGGUCGACCACUAGAGCAUAUCCACCGGGUUUGGGCAUAACCUUGGGAUGGCCUGUCCGGUUCCAGUUGAUCUCCUGCUCCGACCAAUACAUGAACUUCGGAACUGCCGGCAUAACAGCAUUGACCUCCAUCUCUCGCCUGCGCUGACUUGACUUGUCGGUGGGCUCAGUGAUGAAAAUCAUGUAGCUCUGGUGAUGCUCCUUGUACUCGUUUCUCCCGGCAUACCCUGGGAUUUCUUGUCACUCCACCUGGUUGACUGCAUUGUUUGCCUGAGGGGGUCCUUGGAUCUGUGCGUUUGCACCUGUGAGGGGUGGAGGUGGGGUUAAUCGGCUUGCCUUGCCGUUCUCGGCCCGUUGCAUCCAGCUGCAUUGUCGCGUGGUGUGGUUCGCCGGCUUGUUGGGGUUAGUCAUGUGAAAACGAAAAGGCUGAUCCAACAUCACCUCGAAAGUAUACUUUGGCUUAUCUUGCCAGGGCUUCUUUUGUUCUCCCUUCUUGACCCACUGCUGAUUUCCUGUUUUCUGACGCGGGCUAGGGCCGGCGUCAGGCUGGUCCUGAACUGCAGCGACAUGGGCUGGCCCAUACUGGUAAUCCGGCCUGUCAUCCCUUCUGUUGUUGCGAUGAUCUUGAUGGUUGUUCCUCCGGAAUGCCCCAGCAGGAUUGUAUGUCGGCUGCUCCCUUUGUGGUUCUGCCGACAUCAGUGAUGGCUGAGUCGGAUCGCCAAGCGCGUACAUGUCGGCGAUCCUGAUCAUUUCAGAUAGAGUGGUCGGCAUCUCUCUUUGCAGCUUCUGCCACAGCAUGCUGUCAUGCCGACAUCCCUAGGCAAACCACGCUAUGGCUUGCGAUUCCACUAUCCCUUCACAGGAAUUACGGAGAUUGUUCCAUCUUGUCAAGUAAUCCCGGUCAGUUUCGCUGCCUCUUUGCUUACACAUGGACAACUGUUGAGGACGAUUCAGCCUCUUGUAGGUGCUAGUGAAAUUGCUGACAAAUGCUUUCUCAAAGUCUAUCCAGCAAUUGAUGCUGCUUUCCGGCAAAUUGUUCAACCAAAUCUUUGCUGGCCCCACGAGCAUCUGGGGUACAUAACGUACUGCCCAUCUGCGAUUGCCACCUGCCACGCUUACUACCGUGACAUAGUUUUUCAGCCAAUCUUCCAGCUUAGUAUUGCCGUCAUACGUUCUUGUACCCCUGGGCAGCUGAAAACCCGGGGCUGGUUUCUCCCUCAUGAUCCGAUGCGCGAAGCAACACGGUCCCGGAGGGCCUUGUUGGAAAUAUGCCCUAGAGGCAAUAAUAAAUUUGUUAUUAUCAUAUUUCAUUGUUCUUGAUAAAUGUUUAUUGCCCAUGCUAUAAUUGUAUUGAUUGGAAACUCAAAUACAUGUGUGGAUAAAUAAACAAAUACCGUGUCCCUAAUACGCCUCUACUAGAUUAGCUCGUUGAUUAAAGAUGGUUAAGGUUUCCUAACCAUAGACAUGUGUUGUCAUUUAAUAACGAGGUCAUAUCAUUAGGAGAAUGAUGUGAUGGACAGACCCAAACCUAAACAUAGCUUUUGAUCGUGUCACUUAAGUUUAAGUUGCUUAUGUUUUAUUAUGUCAAGUAUUAUUUCUUUAGACCAUGAGAUCAUGCCACUCCCUAGUACCGGAAGAAUACUUUGUGGGCAUCAACCGUCAUCUCGUAACUGGGUGAUCAUAAAGGUGUUUUUCAGGUAUCCCAGAAGGUGCUUGUUAGGUUGUAUGGAUCAAGACUGGGAUUUGUCACUCCUUGUGACGGAGAGAUAUCUCUGGGCCCUCUCGGUAAUAUAACAUCCUAAUGAGUUUGCAAGCAUGUGACUAAUGUGUUUAGUUGCGGGGGUAUUAUAUUACGGAACGAGUAAAGAGAACUUGCCGGUAACGAGAUUAAACUAGGUAUGGCGAUACCGACGAUCAAAUCUCGGGCAAGUAAUAUAUCGCGAGACAAAGAGAAUUGGAUACUGGAUUAAUUGAAUCCUCGACAUAGUGGUUCAACCGAUGAGAUCUUCGUGGAAUAUGUGGGAACUAUUAUGGACAUCCAGGUCCCGCUAUUGGUUAUUGAUAUUUGAUCAUGUCCACAUGUUCUCGAACCCGUAGGGUCACACACUUAACGUUUCAUGUUGCUUGGGUUAGAUGAGAUAAAUGAUGAUGAUAUCGAAUUAUGAUUCGGAGUCUUGGAUGGGAUCCUAGACGCAACGAGGAGCUCCGGAAUGUUCCGGAGAUAAAGAUUUAUAUAUGGAAAGUUGUUUUCAGGGUUCUGGAAAGUUUGGAAUAUUUCCCGGUUUUGACCGGGAAGCUUCUAGAAGGUUCCGGAGGGAUCCGGAGGGUUCCACCUUGAGGCCCACCUAUCCCUGGGCUAAAUGGGCCUGUGAGGGAGCACCCUGGCCUUAAUGGGCCGAGGGGCUAGCCCACAGGGCCCAUGCGGCCAGGAGGAGAGUCCUGGCCGCGGGAGAGUCCUGGCCGCAUGAGAGUCCUGGCCGCGGGAUAGUCCUGGCCGGCCACGCCUCCUCUACCCCUAUAUAAAUAGAAGGGGGGGGGCAAGGGAGAGAGACACCCCAAGCUUUCAAUUGGAUCUCUCUCCCCUGAGCCCUCCUCUCCUCCUCUUCUCACGCGCACGGCGUAGCCCUGCCCGUGAGAAUAUUCACCAUAGUCACCACGCCGUCGUGCUGCCGGGAUCUCGUCUACCUCUCCCUCUCGCUUGCUGGAUCGAGGAAGGAGGAGAUAACGUGAAGCUGAACGUGUGGAUACCAAGGAGGUGCUGUCCGUUCGGCACUGAGAUUGAUCUCAUUGAAAGUUCCACUACACCAACAACGAUCUCGUGAUCGUAACGCUUAGCGGUCUACGAGGGUAUGGUGUUCAUGAUCCCUCUCGUUACAUACAUCUAGUAUAUAUAUUCUUGGGUUUCUUCCGCACUUCUCGUAGGAAAAUUUUUGUUUCCUAUGCAACGAACCUAACAGUGGUAUCAGAGCUAGAUCUAUGCGUAGAUGUUUUGUACGAGUAGAACACAAUUUAGUUGUGGGCGUUGAUGUUCAUAUUGCUACCUCCUUUGUGCACUAUCGGAUUUUGCGGGAUAGUGGGAUGAAGCGGCUCGGACCAACCUUACUUGUCUUCGCACAAGAGACCGGUUCCGCAAUUAACAUGCAACUUGUAUUGCAUAAGGCGGCUGGCGGGUGUCUGUCUCUCCCACUAUAGUUGAAAUCUGAUUUGCAAUGGGAGGCCUAUAUGGUUAAUAAGCAAUUUGUAUAUCACCGUUGUGGCUUUUGCGUAAGUAAGAACGGUUCUUUUAGUGCAGCCCCUAAAGCCACGUAAAACAUGCAACAACAAAGUAGAAGCGUCUAACUUGUUUUUGCAGGGGCAUGUGAUGUGGUAUGGCCAAGAUAUGAUAUAAUAUAUUUGAUGUAUGAGAUGAUCAUGUUUUGUAAUAUUUCACGACUUGCAUGUCGAUGAGUUUGGCAACCGGCAGGAGCCGUAUGGUUGUCUCAUUAAUUAUUGUAUGACCUUCGUGUCAAUGAUUUGAUCGCCAUGUAAUUGCUUUACUUUAUCGCUAGUAGUAGCAAUAGUCGUAGUAGCAAUAGUUGGUGGAGGCAACUAUACAUGACGCCCGAGGACCUAGGCGCCAUGCUGGUGAUGAUGGAGAUCAUGCCCGUGCUUUGGAGAUGAAGAUCAAAGGCACACGAAGAGAAGGCCAUAUCAUGUCACAUUAUUUAUGCAUGUGAUGUUUAUCCCUUUUAUGCAUCUUAUUUUGCUUAGUUGACGGUAGCAUUAUAAGAUGAUCUCUCAUUGUUAAUAUCAAGAUAAUAAUGUGUUCUCCCUUAGUAUGCACCGUUGCAAAAGUUCGUCGUUUUGAAGCACCACGUGAUGAUCGGGUGUUAUAAACUCUACGUUCGCAUACAACGGGUGUAAGCCAGUUUUACACAUGCAGGAAUACUUUGGUUAACUUGACGAGCCUAGCAUGUACAGACAUGGCCUCGGAACACAAGGAACCGAAAGGUUAAACAUGAGUCAUAUGAAUGAUGUGAUCAACAUGCUGAUGUUUACCAUUGAAGCUACUCCAUCUCACGUGAUGAUCGGACUUGGUGUAGUGGAUUUGGAUCAUGUGUCACUAAACAACCCGAGGGAUGUUGAUUUUAGUGGGAGUUCAUUAGUAAUUUGAUUAGCUUGAACUUAUUAUCAUGAACUUAGUCUAAUUGCCUUUGCAAAUAUACUGUAGAUCAAUGGCUCGUACUACGUUCAAUAUGAAUACUCUCCUAGAGAAAGAUAAACUGAAGUCCAAUGGAAGCAACUUUACGGACUGGUUCUGGAAUGUGAGGAUUAUCCUCGAAGCUGCCAAAAAGGCUUAUGUUUUUGAUGCAGCGCUUGGUGCAGAACCCGCAGCAACUGAGUCUGCUGACGUUAGGAACGUUUGGCUGACUCAAUCUGAGGACCACAAUGUAGUUAGGUGCGGCCUCUUGCUUGGUAUGGAACCUGAGCUCCAAAAGCGUUUUGAGCACCACUCGGCAUAUGCUAUGAUUGGGGAACUGAAUACUUUAUUUCAGACCCAAGCCCGUGCGGAGAGGUAUGAUGCCUCCGAAAGGUUCUUUAACUGCAAGAUGGAGGAGAACAGCUCCGUUAGCGAGCACGUGCUCAGAAUGUCUGGGUACGCCGACCGCCUGAGACAACUGGGAAUUGAGAUUCCUAAUGAAUUAGGCAUUGACCGGGUUCUUCAGUCACUACCACCUAGCUAUAAAAGUUUUGUGGUGAACUACAAUAUGCAAGGGAUGGAUAGGACACUUCCUCAGCUCCUCGCGAUGUUAAAAACUGCGGAGGUGGAAAUCAAAAAGGAGCAUCAAGUGUUGAUGGUCAAUAAGACCACCAGUUUCAAGAAGGCAAAGGGUAAGAAGGGAAAUUUCAAGAAGGGUGGCCAAACUGUUGCCACUCCCGCGAAGAAGCCCAAAUCUGGACCUAAGCCGGAUACUGAGUGCUUCUACUGCAAGGGAACUGGCCACUGGAAGCGUAACUGCCCCAAGUACUUGGCAGAUAAGAAGGCUGGCAACGUCAAAGGUAUAUUUGAUAUACAUGUUAUUGAUGUGUACCUUACUAGUACUCGUAGUAGCACCUGGGUAUUUGAUACUGGUUCAGUUGCUCACAUUUGUAACUCGAAACAGGAGCUACAGAAUAAACGAAGACUAGCAAGAGAUGAGGUGACUAUGCGCGUCGGGAAUGGAUCAAAAGUUGAUGUGAUCGCCGUCGGCACGCUCCCUCUACAUUUAUCUUCGGGAUUAGUUUUAAACCUUAGUAAUUGUUAUUUGGUGCCUGCGUUGAGCAUGAACAUUAUAUCAGGAUCUUGUUUAAUGCAAGACGGUUAUUCAUUUAAAUCAGAGAAUAAUGGUUGUUCGAUUUAUAUGAGUAAUAUCUUUUAUGGUCAUGCACCACUUGUGAAUGGUUUAUUUCUAUUAAGUCUCGAUAGUAGUGACACACAUAUUCAUAAUGUUAAUGCCAAAAGGUGCAAAGUGGAUAAUGAUAGUUCAACAUAUUUGUGGCACUGCCGUCUAGGUCAUAUUGGUAUAAAACGCAUGAAGAAACUCCAUUCUGAUGGACUACUUGAAUCACUUGAUUUUGAAUCAUUUGAUACAUGUGAACCAUGCCUCAUGGGUAAGAUGACUAGAACCCCGUUUUCAGGCUUAAUGGAACGGGCCAGUGACUUGUUGGAGAUCAUACAUACUGAUGUGUGCGGACCAAUGAGUGUUACAACGUGCGGUGGAUAUCGUUACUUCCUAACCUUCACAGAUGACUUGAGUAGAUAUGGGUAUAUUUACUUAAUGAAAAACAAGUCUGAGACAUUUGAGAAAUUCAAGGAAUUUCAGAAUGAAGUGGAGAAUCAUCGUAACAAGAAAAUUAAAUUUCUACGAUCGGAUCGUGGAGGUGAAUAUUUGAGUUACGAGUUUGGCACGCAUUUAAGACAAUGUGGAAUUGUUUCACAACUUACGCCGCCUGGAACACCACAACGCAAUGGUGUGUCCGAACGUCGUAAUCGUACUUUAUUGGAUAUGGUACGGUCUAUGAUGUCUCUUACUGAUUUGCCACUGUCGUUUUGGGGUUAUGCAUUAGAGACAGCCGCAUUCACUUUAAAUAGGGCACCAUCUAAAUCCGUUGAAACGACACCGUAUGAAUUAUGAUUUGGCAAGAAACCUAAGCUGUCCUUUCUUAAAGUUUGGGGAUGCGAAGCUUAUGUAAAAAGGCUACAACCUGAUAAGCUCGAACCCAAGUCGGAAAAAUGCGUCUUCAUAGGAUACCCUAAAGAAACAAUUGGGUACACCUUCUAUCACAGAUCCGAAGGAAAAGUGUUUGUCGCUAAGAACGGGUCCUUUCUAGAGAAGGAGUUUCUCUCGAAAGAAGUGAGUGGGAGGAAGGUAGAGCUCGAUGAGGUUAUUGAACCUUCUCUCGAAUUUGAGUGUAGCGCAGCACCAGAAACUGUUCCCGUGCAUCCUGCAUCAGCUAGAGAGGAAGCUAAUGAUAAUGAUCAUGAAGUUUUGAAUGAGACAACUACUGAACUUCGCAGGUCGACGAGAACACGUAAUACUCCUGAGUGGUACAAUGUUCGUGUCAUGAAUGUCAUGUUGUUGGACAACGAUGAACCUGCGAAUUAUGAGGAAGCGAUGAUGAGCCCAGACUCCGAAAAAUGGUUAGAAGCCAUGAAAUCCGAAAUGGGAUCCAUGUAUGAAAACCAAGUAUGGACUUUGGUAGACUUACCGAAUGACCGAAAGGCCGUUGAGAACAAAUGGAUUUUCAAGAAGAAAACAGAUGCUGAUGGAAAUGUUACCGUCUAUAAAGCUCGACUUGUCGCAAAAGGUUUUCGACAAAUUCAAGGAGUUGACUACGAUGAGACUUUCUCACCCGUAGCGAUGCUAAAGUCUGUUCGGAUUAUGUUAGCAAUUGCUGCAUUUUUCGAUUACGAAAUUUGGCAGAUGGAUGUCAAAACCGCGUUCCUUAAUGGUCACAUUGAGGAAGAGUUAUACAUGGUUCAGCCCAAAGGUUUUGUCGAUCCUAAGGAUGCUAAUAAGGUAUGCAAACUUCAGCGUUCCAUUUAUGGGCUGAAGCAAGCAUCUCGGAGUUGGAAUCUCCGUUUUGAUAAGGUGAUCAAAGGGUUUGGAUUUGUCCAAACUCACGGAGAAGCUUGUAUUUACAAGAAAGUGAGUGGGAGCUCUGUAGCAUUUCUAAUACUGUAUGUGGAUGACAUAUUGCUGAUUGGGAAUGAUAUAGAACUUCUUAAAAGUGUUAAAGGCUAUUUGAAUAAAAGUUUUUCAAUGAAAGACCUUGGUGAAGCAGCUUACAUAUUAGGCAUCAAGAUUUAUAGAGAUAGAUCAAGACGCCUGAUAGGACUUACACAAAGUACAUACCUUGACAAAGUUUUGAAAAGGUUCAAAAUGGAUCAAGCAAAGAAAGGGUUCUUGCCCAUGUUGCAAGGUAAGACAUUGAGUAAGACUCAGUGUCCAGCUUCGGCAGAAGAUAGAGAAAAGAUGAAUAGUAUCCCCUAUGCCUCAGCCAUAGGCUCUAUUAUGUAUGCCAUGCUGUGUACUAGACCAGACGUGUGUCAUGCUGUUAGUUUGACUAGCAGGUACCAAAGUGAUCCAGGAGUGGAACACUGGACAGCAGUUAAGAAUAUCCUUAAGUACCUAAAAAGGACUAAAGAAAUGUUUCUCGUUUAUGGAGGUGACGAACAGCUCGUCGUAAAGGGUUACGUCGAUGCUAGUUUUGACACUGAUCCGGAUGACUCUGAGUCUCAAUCCGGAUACGUAUUUAUUUUGAAUGGUGGUGCAGUUAGCUGGAGGAGUUCCAAGCAGAGCGUUGUGGCAGCAUCAACAACUGAAGCGGAAUAUGUGGCUGCUUCAGAAGCGGCACAGGAAGGAGUUUGGAUGAAGGAGUUCAUAUCUGAACUUGGUGUGGUUCCGAGUGCGUUGGAUCCCAUGGACAUCUAUUGUGACAACACUGGUGCCAUAGCCAACGCCAAGGAGCCGAGGUCUCACAAGAAUUCCAAGCAUAUUAAACGCCGGUUUCACACUAUUCGUGAAUAUGUCAAGGAUGGUGACAUAAAGAUUUGCAAAGUACAUACGGAUCUGAAUGUCGCAGACCCGUUGACUAAACCUCUUCCACGAGCAAAACAUGAUCAACACCAAGACUCCAUGGGUGUUAGAUUUAUUACAAUGUAAACUAGAUUAUUGACUCUAGUGCAAGUGGGAGACUGUUGGAAAUAUGCCCUAGAGGCAAUAAUAAAUUUGUUAUUAUCAUAUUUCAUUGUUCUUGAUAAAUGUUUAUUGCCCAUGCUAUAAUUGUAUUGAUUGGAAACUCAAAUACAUGUGUGGAUAAAUAAACAAAUACCGUGUCCCUAAUACGCCUCUACUAGAUUAGCUCGUUGAUUAAAGAUGGUUAAGGUUUCCUAACCAUAGACAUGUGUUGUCAUUUAAUAACGAGGUCAUAUCAUUAGGAGAAUGAUGUGAUGGACAGACCCAAACCUAAACAUAGCUUUUGAUCGUGUCACUUAAGUUUAAGUUGCUUAUGUUUUAUUAUGUCAAGUAUUAUUUCUUUAGACCAUGAGAUCAUGCCACUCCCUAGUACCGGAAGAAUACUUUGUGGGCAUCAACCGUCAUCUCGUAACUGGGUGAUCAUAAAGGUGUUUUUCAGGUAUCCCAGAAGGUGCUUGUUGGGUUGUAUGGAUCAAGACUGGGAUUUGUCACUCCUUGUGACGGAGAGAUAUCUCUGGGCCCUCUCGGUAAUAUAACAUCCUAAUGAGCUUGCAAGCAUGUGACUAAUGUGUUUAGUUGCGGGGGUAUUAUAUUACGGAACGAGUAAAGAGAACUUGCCGGUAACGAGAUUAAACUAGGUAUGGCGAUACCGACGAUCAAAUCUCGGGCAAGUAAUAUAUCGCGAGACAAAGAGAAUUGGAUACUGGAUUAAUUGAAUCCUCGACAUAGUGGUUCAACCGAUGAGAUCUUCGUGGAAUAUGUGGGAACUAUUAUGGACAUCCAGGUCCCGCUAUUGGUUAUUGAUAUUUGAUCAUGUCCACAUGUUCUCGAACCCGUAGGGUCACACACUUAACGUUUCAUGUUGCUUGGGUUAGAUGAGAUAAAUGAUGAUGAUAUCGAAUUAUGAUUCGGAGUCUUGGAUGGGAUCCUAGACGCAACGAGGAGCUCCGGAAUGUUCCGGAGAUAAAGAUUUAUAUAUGGAAAGUUGUUUUCAGGGUUCUGGAAAGUUUGGAAUAUUUCCCGGUUUUGACCGGGAAGCUUCUAGAAGGUUCCGGAGGGAUCCGGAGGGUUCCACCUUGAGGCCCACCUAUCCCUGGGCUAAAUGGGCCUGUGAGGGAGCACCCUGGCCUUAAUGGGCCGAGGGGCUAGCCCACAGGGCCCAUGCGGCCAGGAGGAGAGUCCUGGCCGCGGGAGAGUCCUGGCCGCAUGAGAGUCCUGGCCGCGGGAUAGUCCUGGCCGGCCACGCCUCCUCUACCCCUAUAUAAAUAGAAGGGGGGGGCAAGGGAGAGAGACACCCCAAGCUUUCAAUUGGAUCUCUCUCCCCUGAGCCCUCCUCUCCUCCUCUUCUCACGCGCACGGCGUAGCCCUGCCCGUGAGAAUAUUCACCAUAGUCACCACGCCGUCGUGCUGCCGGGAUCUCGUCUACCUCUCCCUCUCGCUUGCUGGAUCGAGGAAGGAGGAGAUAACGUGAAGCUGAACGUGUGGAUACCAAGGAGGUGCUGUCCGUUCGGCACUGAGAUUGAUCUCAUUGAAAGUUCCACUACACCAACAACGAUCUCGUGAUCGUAACGCUUAGCGGUCUACGAGGGUAUGGUGUUCAUGAUCCCUCUCGUUACAUACAUCUAGUAUAUAUAUUCUUGGGUUUCUUCCGCACUUCUCGUAGGAAAAUUUUUGUUUCCUAUGCAACGAACCUAACAGGCCUUGCUCCUCCAGAAGCUCGGACAGAUAAAUUCUGUCAAGCCGAUGUCGUGCAUCCAGGGGCGAUACCUGCCUGUUCCCAAUUCGGCAUCCGAGCGGACCGAGAUUGUCGCGCUCUCGCCUGAUAUAACCCUCAUCAGCCAUGGCCGAGUAUCCGUCAUCAUAACGGUCAUAACGGCGAUCUUCACCUCGAUAAAGGGGGUUGCGCCUGACACCCUGCUGUCCUGUAGCAGUGUUAGGUGCCGGACCCCGAGGUCGGUGCCCAUGGUCAUACGAGUAACGCUCCUGCUGAUCUCGGUGGUUGCCGCUGGGACGCAGACCACUUUGGCUGUCAUCAACCCUCCUGACUAUUUGUUUCUCGGCCAGGGCCGGGUCACAGCGUUCCAACUGCUUAUCCCGGCCAGAGUUAACGAUUUUGUCCCGUUUGUCCCGUUUGCCACCAGGUGAGGACGCUUGUUUGUCAACCCGGCCACCAGCGUCUGCGGCCGAAUGAAUGACCUGUGAUGCACCGGGUUUACCAUGCACUCUCAUGUAUGCCUCAUUCUGCUCAUUUGUUGUUUGUAGCAGCUCUUUUACGCGCUGCUGCUGCCGAAGUGCCUCUCCCGUAAGAUUCGGCAACUCUUCAGUCGCAGCCUCGACAGCCCUGAGAUUUUUGGCCGGGGUAUUGUACUUCGGCUUAAGUGCCGAGGCAAAACUUGCCGACACAGCUGGCACACCCCUGCCAUCUCUUGCCAUCUUGGCAUUCAAGUUUUUGCCACGGUUACGCACCUCCCCAACUCUGCAAGGGUUAGCAAAUGCAAUAGAACUGAGACCAUGAGCUUUGAUAUACUCACGGAGCGAGAUGUCGAGUUGUUGUCGGGCGUUGGCAACGUCGACGUCUUCCUUCAGCAGCUUCUGUCUCUCCAACUCUAACUCCGCCUGCAGCUGGGCCGGGUUAGCAUUCGACACCACCGGCACAGUCAGCCGCUCGAUGGAGGCCUGGAUCUGAGUUGGCUUCGGCGGCAGAGCCGAUGUGCCGGCUUGUGCGGCGAUGUUCUCCGGCUUCUCCAAAGGGAGCUUCGCCGUUCUGUCGGACUUGGUUGGGACAACUCCACUUCCUGCAGCGUCCCUUCCCGCAUCAGCGCCAUGAGCCGUCACCAUAACCUCUACACGGUCAGCGGGGCAGUCGACAUGCCGGCCGCGAGCCGUGCAGAUGGCGGGGGGAUCUUCAGCCAUCACCACCUGCUCUGGGUACCUGUAAGGGCUGUCAGUAGCAACAUAGACCUCGUGCAUGCCGAAACUGAUGAAGCGGCCUGCACAGGGAAGCGGUGUGCCGUUGAAGCAGCCCACGUUGUUGUUGAUGAAGCCCAGAGAGCCGAAUCUCUAGACCAAACCGGAGACCACGCGUUCUCCGGUGACGAGGAAGCAUCCCGUCCGGAUGAAAACUCCAGCCAGCGCCGCUGCUGGCCCCACGGUGGGCGCCAACUGUCGUGGUGGUGUCACGGCAGAUGCCAUAGGAUGGCUUAACUUGGGGCCGAUGGACGAAGGAGGAUCCGGAGGAGGGAGGACGCGAAGGGAAACACGCACCAAACACACAAGCACACACAAAUUUACCCAGGUUCGGAGCCCUCUAGUCGAGGUAAGACUCCGACUCCUGCUUUGUUGUUUUAGCCGAGAUAGGCAAGCUCUACAAUGGAGCUCCUUGAGCUAUAUUCUUGAGGGGGAAGAAAAAGAAGGGGAAACUCUAGAAUGUCCAAGUGCUCGAUGCCCUCUCGAGGGAGGUGAAGUGCGCUAUUUAUGGGCCAGACAUGUCACACAUGCAUGCCGAGUCUAACGUCACUUUUCUUGGGUCCCGCCGGGCACGCGGCUUGGUUCCCUCCAGGCAGUAGCACCGGGGACAAGACAACUUUACUUUUCCCUGCCAGUCUGCAACGGGUACAGCUAUCCUCUGCCGGCUUCCGUCAUAUAUUCCCUUUCAGUGCUUCUCUACCGUGGUCACCUGUCACCGGUACGCAGGCGCUGACUGCUUUUCUGAGAUGAUGAUGGCACUGCUUCACUUUGCACCGCGUGGUCAGCAUAAGACCGUUGAAGGGUCUCGGCACCGCCGAGGUCGAGAGGCUCGUCCUUAUCCUGCAAACUUACAAGAUAAGAAGAUUAUGCCGGCAUACGCUCAGGAUGCCGGCUUAUCGUUAGUUUAACUUUACGAUGCCGGCAUAGGUAGCUAUGUCGGCUUUGCCUUCGUCAACUUGGAUAGGGUUGUGUCGCUAUGACUCUACCCAGGGUCAUCGCCCGACAAACCGCCAGCGGGAUGCCUGCCGUGACCCUUUCCGCCGCUUUCCCUGCUUUCUUCCCACCGCCGCCGCCGCCGCUCCCCUACGCCGAUCAAGUCCAUGAUCUGACCUACUCCGACGAGGAAUACCAGGCGCUAAUGCUCGCGGAGUUCGGCCCUGUCGUGCCGUUGCUCACCAUGGACUUCCAGGCGGCGAUGAAGCUCACCGUCACCGGGGACGAAACCCAGGCGGACCACAGCAGCAAGAAGAGGAAGAACAAAGACGACGAAACCCAGGCGGACCGCAGCAGCAAGAAGAAGAAGAACAACAAGGACGACGAUAUCCAGGCGGACCGCAGCAACAAGAAGAGGAAGAAGAAGAAGGACGACGAAAUCCAGACGCCGCCUCCGUCCAAGCGCAAGCGGACCAAGGAGACGGAGGAGAUCGAAGCCGAAUUCGAGGAGGAGGAGGAGCCGCUGCCGUCGCCGCGAUCCACCAACAAGACGAUCGCGACGCGGCUCCAGAAGUGGCGGGACAUCCGCGCGCCGGAGCCGUGGAGUCGGAGGUCGACGGGGAGACUCACACGGUGCUGCGGUGCGAGUGCGGCGGGCUCCCGCGGGGCUCCCCCGGCUGCGCGCUGCACCAGAACGUGCCCGGGAGGUCGUGGAUGCUGAGGCAGGGCGACAUCCCGGCCGUCGGCGGCACCGACGGCGUCCUCGUGCCCAAGACGUCCACGGAUUGCAGGAGGUGGUGGCCGGGUACAUGCGGUGCCGCCGCAGCGUGUGGAUGCCCAGCCGAUUCUACCUGGAGAAGUCCCAGAAGGAGAGGGCGUAUCAAGAUGCCGAGGACGAGAUGAAGAGACUUCUUGGUGCUUCCGCGCUUCCUGCUAGGCUAGGGUCAGUAGCGCCGAACAGGAUGAUUAAUUCUGCCGGGAUGUAACAAUUGAUGUGAUCUGCAUUUCUACUCUUGAAAAACUUGAAAUGUAUCAUCUAUGUUACUAUGUAGCCGGAGUGGAUCCAGUUGAUGUAUGCAUGUUCUUCGUUGUUGAGAGUUGACACAGUUGAGUGUAAAUUUUUGUUGCGAGAAUUAUUUGUACUUCUGGAAUUCAUUGAUUGUGUAUUCCGUGGAUCUCCCUCUAAUAUUCUGUGAUCUCAAUUCAUACUACCGAUUUCUUUAUGUAUCAUCAGUUUUUCAGUUUGGUGGCCCAAUUCAGAGGACAUCUUAGAGCCGUUUUGUUGCCUUCAGUUCGAUUUUUCAGUGAUUCGUCUUUGUUAAAACAGUUCCCUUUAACUCGUGGCCAGCCAGAUAAUCCUUUUUUUCAGGUCGAGGAGAGACGCGGAGCAGAGGAGCAUACACUGAUUCUUUGCUUCAGUUUUCCUUUUCGGAAUUGCUAGGAAACAGUCGCGUGAGAAUUUGUAAUUCUCGGUCGACAGCGUGGUUCGUCGGAUCAGCGUCGUGAUUCGUGUUGGUACUGUGUACAGACAGCUACGAGCUAAACAGAGGAAUGACCGACAAUGAACAAGAGCACCUGGUUGGUUCAGUGGUUAGUAUAGGCUGUCUUUCUGCCUAGGUCGUGUGUUUGAAGCCCAUUGACCUUUCUUUUUCUUUUUUAUUUUCGACUCCUUUAUUAUUUCUGUUUUCUUAUUUAUUUGCUUUUUUAUCUCUUGAUUUCUCUUUUGCUCUUUUUUUGUUUCCCUUCACUUCCUUUGUUUUCAUUACGGCUUCUAUUCUGCACUAAGCGUAAAAUAGCAAUGCUAGCUUAUUUUUAUCCACAAUUUUUAGAAUCGCGCAUAAAUUUUCACCUAUAAUUUUUGGAUCGCACAAAAAUUUCACCUGCAAUUUUUUAGAAACGUGCAUAAACUUUCACCUGCAAUUUUUUAAAAUCGUGCAUAAACUUUCACCUGUAAUUUUUAAAACCACGCAUAAAAUUUUACCGGUAAUUUUUAAAAUUGUACAUAAAUUUCACUUGCAAUUUUUUAAAAUUUGAUCUUUGUUAUAGUUUCAGCCUAAGGAAAAUGCAUAUAAAUAUCCAUGCAAAUUUUGAAGUUGCACACAAAAAUUUCAGUACAAUUGUAAAACUUUCACCAGCAAUUUUUAAAAAAAUUCAAGUGCAAUUUUUAUAAAUAUACUCAAAAUUUCAUGUUGGUAGACACACGCACAGAGACACGCGCACCUACGCGCGCACGCACACGCACAACAGAGAGACUGAACACACAGCGGACACACACACCAACACAAACACACACGUGCACACACAUCGAAGUUUCUCGGUCGACUUAUGACAUAUACCUAGCCACUCCCUUUCCUUUUUUUAGGGGGUUUGCUUCAGUUCGUUUUUCUCACAGUUCCCUUCAAUUCGUGGCCAGCAAAUCCUGAGUUUCACGUGGGCUGAGCAUAUCUGGGCCGGACCACUCGUAUCUGGCUGAAAAGGCAGAGAAUAACUUUGUAUACUGGGCCUCCAGUUAUCCCGUCUAUCGUGCAGUCCAGUGUGCUCGGGCGGUUGCCAUCCUCUAGUGUCUAGUCCUCUGUAUGAGAUUCUCAAAAAAAAAAAGUCCUCUGUAUGAGGUGGCUCUGCAUUUUGGUUGUGUUUAGUUCUUCCAAAUUGGACGGUAAAAAAAAUUCUUCCAAUUUAUCAAUAAAAAAAGUUCUUCCAAAUUUGUCUUACCCAUAGCAACAAUUGAUAUUUCGGUUUUUAUUUGGUUGGUAGUAAAAAAUUGGGUUCUAAAGGAAUUUUGUCAACCACAUUAAUAUCUAUUCAAAAAAUUUGUCAACCCUACACUGGUUUGUCCAUGGAAAACUAUUAACGUUUAUAAAUUUUAGUACUUUCUGAUAGUCUUGUUUUUUUGAAACAUUUAGCUUUAUUGAUUCAGUAAGCGGGGUAGAAAAUAUCAAAUAAACCGGAAUAAAAGGUUGUUGCUUCAGCGUGUCUAUUGGAGUUGGCAGCAUGUUUGCAGCUGUAGCAGGCAGUAAGGAGGUGCUUUCCCCCGAUGGUAACGGUGUAAUCUCGGUUCUAAGCACCUUAGUUAAUUAGUUGUCCUUCUGUAAAACUAUGACAGUCAUUCUUUGUUUUUCGGGUUGGUUUUUCAGGCUCUGUACAUCUUUCAAUGUACAGUAGAGGUCGGGUGAGAAUUUUUUUUGGGUGUAUCGUUUUGAUUUUCCAAGCUUCAUAAAACUCCCUUUAUCGGAAAAAUGAAUAUGUAUCUGAAUUUGUUCUCGGAAAAAGAUAUAUCUAAAAAGCCAUGUUAAUCCACCAUAGCCGAAUGGAGCCUCCACCACCAACCAAGGAUGUGUUUGGUUGCCGGAUGGGUUGGAGCCGUUCAAUUUUGUGUGUGUUUGGAUCGAGCGGGUCUGAGCAGAGUGCUUCAUGGAUCGAUUUUUAAUUUGAAAAUGUGAACCGUCCAGCUCGCUGAAAUUGGCCGAACCACGCGGACCCUCCCAGAUCGGCAACCAAACACAACCAAAAUGAGCAGUGUCUGUAACUUGAGCAAAGCAAGUUAAACCGAACGAGCGGAUUUUUUUACCUCGUCACAACAAUUACAAUGACACCUAAGGGAAUUAUUGAACAAUUUCAAAUGAAACUCAACACGAACAAAACACAUCUUGAGAAGAAGAAAAGAGACUACACAGACGCACGCACGCGCGCCGUCCACACAGGAAAGACGCACGCACGCGCACAAGCAAAUUAAUCUGACACGCGGCCGGGGGACACGGAAUUGCAUGCAAGCGCGGAGAUAGAUCGACCCAACAACAGCUGAAUUGAUCAGCCGCUGCCGCCGAGCACGGCCUUGAGCUUCUUCACCUGCGCGUCGUCCAAGAAUGUCACCUUCUCCACGACGGCCGACGGCAGGUUGUUGGCGAAGAGCGCGUAGUCGGUGAUCUGCAGGCCCGGGUUAGGCCCGCUGAAGGCGACGAAUGCCACGGCGGUCGAGGCGCCCCCGUUGUACUGGUAGUGGAGCAGGCCCUGGGGGAACACCAUGGCGUCGCCCUUGUAGAGCGUCUUGGUGUAGACGGUGUUGGAGGAGGACGUGAUGAAGCCAGCCAGAAUGGUGCCCUCGACGACGAAGAGCAGCUCGGAGGCGGCCGGGUGGGUGUGCAGCGGCACGACGCCGCCCACGGCGAUGUCGAGCCGGGCCCCGGAGAUGCCCAGCCCGUUCACGCCCGGGAACUGGCCCACGAAGGCCGGGGUCACGGCCGCCUUGAUGAGGUUCGUGGUGUUGCCGGCAGCGGCGAGGCCGUGGUAGUAGAAGUCGCCCGAGCUGACGCUGCCGGCCGCCUUGCACGGGUAGCCUGCCGGGGUGUCGCUGCAGGACAGGUCCGCCACGCAGAAGUCCUGGGUCAGGGCCAGGGCGGAGAAGGGCAGGAUGAGGAAGGAGAGGAGCACCGGGAGCAACAUUGUUCUGGCCAUGGCUACUUGCUUAAUUGGACUGCUGGCUGCUGUGUGCUUCAAGGAUUGCUGCUGCUCGAGGGUAGGUGUGCAGUGCCGUUGGGGUGUUUAUAUAGGAGGAGAGAGCCGAGGGGCGCAGGACGUAGUACGUAGGUAGAGUAGAGAACAAUGUAACGUGAGAGAAUUUUGGCGAGGCGUGCGCCUGUGUUCACGUGCAUCGGUGCAUUGCACACUACUGUCAGGAUUUUCGGCGGAGGUACGAUCUCGAGGAGCCAGUGGACAAGCGUUUAGCUGGGCAUGGUCCAGGAGGUACGAUCUCGAGGAGCCAGUGGACAAGCGUUUACGUCUUUGAUGGAGGAAAGCUCUCGAAUUGCUGCAUUAUUAGGGAAGGGCACCAAGGACACGAUCGAUGAGCUUAUUUUACCACGACAUGCAUGGAUUAAUGGAUAGGCCGAACUCACUGUGUCUUUGUAUCGAACAUGCAGAUGUGCAGGCACUAGAUCUUCACAACAACGGUAACAUUUGGUGGUGUAGCUGUCUAGCUGAUGCAUGCCAGGUUGCAAAUGCACACGGGCAACCAAGCUAUAAUUUGUGUUUUCCUAUGGCGCCAAUGCCUGGUCCCAUGUAAGUCGGUGUCUUUUGCUGCUCAUCUUUCACAUACAUGCAAGUUCUGGAGGCAAACACUGCACCAGUCUUUGUUGCUUUGCAAAUGCAAAAGCAAAAUAUCAGUAGCGCACUAAUUAACGGAAAAGCCUACGUUGCUUAGGCAUAGCCUUUUGCCGGAGGCUUUCUAUCGGGCUUACGGCCAAAAGUCCAAUAGACCGUGGUCGCCGGAAAAGCCUUCGGCAAAGACAGAACCUACGUCAAAGGUUGCGCCAGGCCCACGGCAAAGAACAGCCUAGAGUGUGGAAGGCCCACGGCAAAACGAAGCCUACGGUAAAGAUUAAGAGAAGCCCACGGCAAAGCGUUCCUGCACAUGGGCUCGCCGCACGGACUGACGGCGCGCGAACGGCAAAGAAGGGUCCUCCAGUAGCGGCAUUUUGGGUAGCCACGCAUGUGGAAAUUUAACCGCGCGCUGCGACUUUCUUAAUGGUGGAAAAAUAUAUUCUGCUUCGUUCAAAAGGGUAAAUCUAGAGUCUCACUCUCUCAGGUACAAUAAGAAGUACAGUACGACGAAAUGGAUCCAUCAUGCAUGGUUGAUCCGUAGCGCAGUUGAUUCAACCCAGAGUCUAACUGUCACAAGGUACAAUACGAGUACCUCGAAAUGGCUCGUCAAGGUGGAUCCGUGGAGCAUGUACUUCAUUCAGGAAAAAAAAACUGACUCAGGAAAAGGAAUCUGGGACAGCCCAGGCUCAUCUCUUCCCAACUGAGCCCCCUUCUCGAAUUGUUCCAUGUCAUUUCUCGCACCAAUAUCAAAUCAACUAAGUUCUGUCCACCUCAUCGGGGUUUCGAUCUUGUAUCUUUAAAAAUUUCAUUUUGUUUUCAUCAAGAUUUCGUAAAAUAUAAUUUCCUUUAGUGUUUAGUUUUAUUUCAUUCAGGUUUUAAAAAAAGUCACAGUUUCGUUCUUCUUUUAUUGAAGUUUUGUUCGGAUUUCAUUAAAAUAUCACUGACAUGGAGCAAUUUGAAAAGGGGCCUCACGAGGUAAAUCAGUAGGUAGUUGACUCUACAUUAGUUCUAUUAAGUCGACUUUAAUUUAGUCUUAUUAAAUCCAUUAUGAUAUAUAUUUUCAUAGCAUACUUAUUUGAUAUUCUAGAUGCUGAUACAUUUUUAUAUGAACUUUGAUCAAACGAACUUUGAGUUAUGACAAAGUUAUGACUUCUUAUAUUUAGAAACGUAUAUGUGCAUCGAUUCGAUGCAGAGGCCGCGGAAAUCAUCCCCUUCUCGAAAAAAAAACAAAUUACAAUGACACCUACUAAGGAAUUAUUGACAGUUUCAAAUGAAAUUCAACAUGAACAAAACACAUCUUGACAAGAAAAAGAAAAAGAUCACGGACGUAUGUACGUCGUCCACACGAAAGGCGCGCAAGCAAAUUAAUCUGACACACGACCGGUGACACGGAUUGUAUGCGAGCGGAGAUAGAUCGACCCAACAGCAGCAGAAUUAGCCGCUGCCGCCGAGCACGGCCUUGAGCUUCUUGACCUGCGCGUCGUCCAAGAAGGUGACCGUCUCCACGACGGCCGACGGCAGGUUGUUGGCGAAGAGCGCGUAGUCGGUGAUCUGCAGACCCGGGUUAGGCCCGCUGAAGGCGACGAGGGCCACGGCCGCUGAGGCGCCCCCGUUGUACUGGUAGUGGAGCAGGCCCUGGGGGAACACCAUGAUGUCGCCCUUGUAGAGCGUCUUGGUGUAGACGGUGUUGGAGGAGGACGUGAUGAAGCCCGCCAGCACGGUGCCUUCCACGACGAAGAGCAGCUCGGAGGCGGCCGGGUGGGUGUGCAGCGGCACGACGCCGCCCACGGCGAUGUCGAGCCGGGCCCCGGAGAUGCCCAGCCCGUUCACGCCCGGGAACUGGCCCACGAAAGCCGGAGUCACGGCCGCCUUGAUUAAGUUCGUUGUGUUGCCGGCCGCGGCGAG